This 474-nucleotide ribosomal RNA is filed under the name uncultured bacterium. Its description in RNAcentral is "bacterial SSU rRNA". It matches the Rfam family "Bacterial small subunit ribosomal RNA", at positions 33 to 507 of the family's 1533-position model. The record is from RNAcentral.
GAGGACACGCUGGCGGCGUGCUUAACACAUGCAAGUCGAACGGACGAGUGAGAUAAGUUUACUUAACUCACAAGUUAGUGGCGGACGGGUGAGUAACACGUGGAUAAUCUACCUGCAACACCGGGAUAACGCUGUGAAAACGGUGCUAAUACCGGAUACGUUCCCUUGUGCGCAUGUAUGAGGGAAGAAAGCUCAGGCGGUUGCAGAUGAGUCCGCGGCUGAUUAGCUAGUUGGUGAGGUAAAGGCUCACCAAGGCGAUGAUCAGUAGCCGGCCUGAGAGGGUGAACGGCCACACUGGGACUGAGACACGGCCCAGACUCCUACGGGAGGCAGCAGUGGGGAAUCUUCCGCAAUGGGCGCAAGCCUGACGGAGCAACGCCGCGUGGGUGAAGAAGGCCUUCGGGUUGUAAAGCCCUGUCUUAUGGGAAGAAGUCAGUGACGGUACCAUAGGAGGAAGCCACGGCUAACUACGUG